Molecule: ribosomal RNA, 764 nt
Filed under: uncultured bacterium
Lineage: Bacteria
Description: bacterial SSU rRNA
Rfam family: Bacterial small subunit ribosomal RNA
Source: RNAcentral
AGAGUUUGAUCAUGGCUCAGAUUGAACGCUGGCGGCAUGCCUUACACAUGCAAGUCGAACGGCAGCACGGGAGCAAUCCUGGUGGCGAGUGGCGAACGGGUGAGUAACGCAUCGGAACGUGUCCUGUCGUGGGGGAUAGCCCGGCGAAAGCCGGAUUAAUACCGCAUACGACCUACGGGUGAAAGCGGGGGAUCGCAAGACCUCGCGCGAUUGGAGCGGCCGAUGUCAGAUUAGCUUGUUGGUGGGGUAAAAGCCUACCAAGGCGACGAUCUGUAGCUGGUCUGAGAGGACGACCAGCCACACUGGGACUGAGACACGGCCCAGACUCCUACGGGAGGCAGCAGUGGGGAAUUUUGGACAAUGGGCGCAAGCCUGAUCCAGCCAUGCCGCGUGCGGGAAGAAGGCCUUCGGGUUGUAAACCGCUUUUGUCAGGGAAGAAAAGCUCCGGGCUAACACCUUGGAGUCAUGACGGUACCUGAAGAAUAAGCACCGGCUAACUACGUGCCAGCAGCCGCGGUAAUACGUAGGGUGCAAGCGUUAAUCGGAAUUACUGGGCGUAAAGCGUGCGCAGGCGGCUUUGCAAGACAGGUGUGAAAUCCCCGGGCUCAACCUGGGAACUGCACUUGUGACUGCAUGGCUGGAGUACGGUAGAGGGGGAUGGAAUUCCGCGUGUAGCAGUGAAAUGCGUAGAUAUGCGGAGGAACACCGAUGGCGAAGGCAAUCCCCUGGACCUGUACUGACGCUCAUGCACGAAAGCGUGGGGA